RNAcentral lists this long non-coding RNA (409 nucleotides) under Sinocyclocheilus grahami. Its description in RNAcentral is "lncRNA (ENSSGRG00000032479.1)". Lineage: Eukaryota; Metazoa; Chordata; Actinopteri; Cypriniformes; Cyprinidae. The record is from RNAcentral.
AUCGAUUUAGGAGAAACCAGCAGUUAAAGAGGACAAGACACACUCUAACACACAGUCACAUCCACACACAUGACAAAAACAGAAAGAGCACUAGUGAGGAAACAGAGAUGAGCCAGAGGGAAAAACACAGGCUGAGUCACCAACCAUCAGACAGAUAUAUUAGGCUCACACCCCUGAGAAGACCGAGAGAAAUAUACAGCAUAAAAAAGAACACGGUUCACAGCCGCCUCAAGAAAACCUCAGAAGACUGUCUCCCAAAAAAUUCUUCAGGCAGACACAGAGAGAGGCGGAACUUUUCUGCUGACGAGUUGCUGUACCUCAACAUGGGUGUGAAGAGGUUUGGUCACUCCUGGAACUCCAUCCUCUGGACGUAUCCCUUCCAGCCUGGACGCACCAAUGUAGACCUGGC